UGAACGCUGGCGGCGUGCCUACUACAUGCAAGUCGAGCGAACAGAUAAGGAGCUUGCUCCUUUGACGUUAGCGGCGGACGGGUGAGUAACACGUGGGUAACCUACCUAUAAGACUGGGAUAACUUCGGGAAACCGGAGCUAAUACCGGAUAACAUUUGGAACCGCAUGGUUCUAAAGUGAAAGAUGGUUUUGCUAUCACUUAUAGAUGGACCCGCGCCGUAUUAGCUAGUUGGUAAGGUAACGGCUUACCAAGGCAACGAUACGUAGCCGACCUGAGAGGGUGAUCGGCCACACUGGAACUGAGACACGGUCCAGACUCCUACGGGAGGCAGCAGUAGGGAAUCUUCCGCAAUGGGCGAAAGCCUGACGGAGCAACGCCGCGUGAGUGAUGAAGGGUUUCGGCUCGUAAAACUCUGUUAUUAGGGAAGAACAAACGUGUAAGUAACUGUGCACGUCUUGACGGUACCUAAUCAGAAAGCCACGGCUAACUACGUG
RNAcentral lists this ribosomal RNA (495 nucleotides) under uncultured bacterium. Its description in RNAcentral is "partial 16S ribosomal RNA". It matches the Rfam family "Bacterial small subunit ribosomal RNA", at positions 30 to 507 of the family's 1533-position model. The record is from RNAcentral.